RNAcentral lists this ribosomal RNA (253 nucleotides) under uncultured bacterium. RNAcentral describes it as "partial 16S ribosomal RNA". It matches the Rfam family "Bacterial small subunit ribosomal RNA", at positions 524 to 776 of the family's 1533-position model. The record is from RNAcentral.
UACGGAGGGUGCAAGCGUUGUUCGGAAUUACUGGGCGUAAAGGGCGUGUAGGCGGUGGGGUAUGUCAGAUGUGAAAGCCCUGGGCUUAACCCAGGAAGUGCAUUUGAAACUGCCAUGCUUGAGUAUGGGAGAGGAGAGUGGAAUUCCCAGUGUAGAGGUGAAAUUCGUAGAUAUUGGGAGGAACACCCGUGGCGAAGGCGACUCUCUGGACCAAUACUGACGCUGAGGCGCGAAAGCGUGGGGAGCAAACAGU